This 550-nucleotide ribosomal RNA is filed under the name uncultured fungus. RNAcentral's name for it is "eukaryotic LSU rRNA". It matches the Rfam family "Eukaryotic large subunit ribosomal RNA", at positions 177 to 627 of the family's 3401-position model. The record is from RNAcentral. Lineage: Eukaryota; Fungi.
GGGUAUAAAUCCUUUGGAAUAGGGUAUCAUAGAGGGUGAGAAUCCCGUCUUUGACUCAGUGCAUGCUACUAUGUGAUACGUUUUCAAAGAGUCGAGUUGUUUGGGAAUGCAGCUCAAAAUGGGUGGUAAACUUCAUCUAAAGCUAAAUAUUGGCGAGAGACCGAUAGCGAACAAGUACCGUGAGGGAAAGAUGAAAAGAACUUUGAAAAGAGAGUUAAACAGUGCGUGAAAUUGUUGAAAGGGAAACGUUUGACACCAGUCAUGCGGGUGGAAAAUCAGUCUUUUGCAGUGUUUUUUUUGUGGGCGUUCUGACCGUAAGGCUGGCGCUUGCUCUAUCUUUGCUGUAAGUGAUGCACUUUUUCAUUUGCAGGUCAACAUCAGUUUGCUUUGCUGGACAAAACCCCAAGAGAAGGUGGCAGCUUAGGCUGUGUUAUAGCUCUGGGGCGAUACAGUGAAGUGGACUGAGGUUUUCGCAGCGUGUGCUCUCGGGCAAGGCUGAUUGGGUGCUAUGGGAUCGUUCGGCGUACAAUGCAUGCAUUUUGCGUCGUGU